Thalassophryne amazonica is the source of this 163-nucleotide long non-coding RNA. RefSeq lists it as uncharacterized. Lineage: Eukaryota; Metazoa; Chordata; Actinopteri; Batrachoidiformes; Batrachoididae. The transcript is spliced from 3 exons. The record is from RefSeq and is a predicted model, not a curated record.
CCGGCAGCAGAUUUGUUUUUAGAUUUUAUUGAUAACAACACUCAUCAUUAAUUGUGCACAAAGCUGAACCUGGAGCAGAGAUGGUUAGUGACAGGCUGCUUUUAUAACUCAUGGCCGUGCAGGUGCACAGAAACCUUCACAGAGCUGCAACUUAUUCCUGUGA